GCUACGUUCGGAACUGAUAACCGCUGAAAGCAUCUAAGCGGGAAGCAGGCUUUGAGAUGAGUUCUCACUGGAGCUUUAAGCUCCCUAAAGGGUCGUUGGAGACUACAACGUUGAUAGGUUGGGUGUGUAAGGACUGCGAGGUCUUGAGCUAACCAAUACUAAUUACCCGUGAGGCUUAACCAUACAACACCCAAGUGGUUUUAAG
This 205-nucleotide ribosomal RNA is filed under the name Colwellia sp. C1TZA3. RNAcentral describes it as "partial 23S ribosomal RNA". The stretch from base 1 to 183 matches the Rfam family "Bacterial large subunit ribosomal RNA", at positions 2748 to 2925 of the family's 2925-position model. The record is from RNAcentral. Lineage: Bacteria; Pseudomonadati; Pseudomonadota; Gammaproteobacteria; Alteromonadales; Colwelliaceae.